This 497-nucleotide ribosomal RNA is filed under the name uncultured bacterium. RNAcentral's name for it is "partial 16S ribosomal RNA". It matches the Rfam family "Bacterial small subunit ribosomal RNA", at positions 28 to 507 of the family's 1533-position model. The record is from RNAcentral.
GAUGAACGCUGGCGGCGUGCCUAAUACAUGCAAGUCGAGCGAACAGACGAGGAGCUUGCUCCUCUGACGUUAGCGGCGGAUGGGUGAGUAACACGUGGAUAACCUACCUAUAAGACUGGGAUAACUUCGGGAAACCGGAGCUAAUACCGGAUAAUAUAUUGAACCGCAUGGUUCUAUAGUGAAAGACGGUUUUGCUGUCACUUAUAGAUGGAUCCGCGCCGCAUUAGCUAGUUGGUAAGGUAACGGCUUACCAAGGCAACGAUGCGUAGCCGACCUGAGAGGGUGAUCGGCCACACUGGAACUGAGACACGGUCCAGACUCCUACGGGAGGCAGCAGUAGGGAAUCUUCCGCAAUGGGCGAAAGCCUGACGGAGCAACGCCGCGUGUGUGAUGAAGGUCUUCGGAUCGUAAAACUCUGUUAUUAGGGAAGAACAAAUGUGUAAGUAAAUAUGCACGUCUUGACGGUACCUAAACAGAAAGCCACGGCUAACUACGUG